GUUGUCAAUGGUAAGCGCACAAGCAAUAGCGCGGAGCAUUAAGGAAUUGACAACAAUUUGCCG
RNAcentral lists this small RNA (63 nucleotides) under Limosilactobacillus panis DSM 6035. RNAcentral describes it as "Lactobacillus panis DSM 6035 Bacillus-plasmid RNA". It matches the Rfam family "Bacillus-plasmid RNA". The record is from Rfam by way of RNAcentral. Lineage: Bacteria; Bacillati; Bacillota; Bacilli; Lactobacillales; Lactobacillaceae.